Molecule: ribosomal RNA, 702 nt
Filed under: uncultured bacterium
Lineage: Bacteria
Description: bacterial SSU rRNA
Rfam family: Bacterial small subunit ribosomal RNA
Source: RNAcentral
CUUGCUUCUCUUGAGAGCGGCGGACGGGUGAGUAAUGCCUAGGAAUCUGCCUGGUAGUGGGGGAUAACGUCCGGAAACGGACGCUAAUACCGCAUACGUCCUACGGGAGAAAGCAGGGGACCUUCGGGCCUUGCGCUAUCAGAUGAGCCUAGGUCGGAUUAGCUAGUUGGUGGGGUAAUGGCUCACCAAGGCGACGAUCCGUAACUGGUCUGAGAGGAUGAUCAGUCACACUGGAACUGAGACACGGUCCAGACUCCUACGGGAGGCAGCAGUGGGGAAUAUUGGACAAUGGGCGAAAGCCUGAUCCAGCCAUGCCGCGUGUGUGAAGAAGGUCUUCGGAUUGUAAAGCACUUUAAGUUGGGAGGAAGGGCAGUAAAUUAAUACUUUGCUGUUUUGACGUUACCGACAGAAUAAGCACCGGCUAACUCUGUGCCAGCAGCCGCGGUAAUACAGAGGGUGCAAGCGUUAAUCGGAAUUACUGGGCGUAAAGCGCGCGUAGGUGGUUCGUUAAGUUGGAUGUGAAAUCCCCGGGCUCAACCUGGGAACUGCAUUCAAAACUGACGAGCUAGAGUAUGGUAGAGGGUGGUGGAAUUUCCUGUGUAGCGGUGAAAUGCGUAGAUAUAGGAAGGAACACCAGUGGCGAAGGCGACCACCUGGACUGAUACUGACACUGAGGUGCGAAAGCGUGGGGAGCAAACAGGA